This 1372-nucleotide ribosomal RNA is filed under the name uncultured bacterium. RNAcentral's name for it is "bacterial SSU rRNA". It matches the Rfam family "Bacterial small subunit ribosomal RNA", at positions 28 to 1381 of the family's 1533-position model. The record is from RNAcentral.
GAUGAACGCUGGCUGCGUGCCUAAUACAUGCAAGUCGAGCGAACGGACGAGAAGCUUGCUUCUCUGAUGUUAGCGGCGGACGGGUGAGUAACACGUGGAUAACCUACCUAUAAGACUGGGAUAACUUCGGGAAACCGGAGCUAAUACCGGAUAAUAUUUUGAACCGCAUGGUUCAAAAGUGAAAGACGGUCUUGCUGUCACUUAUAGAUGGAUCCGCGCUGCAUUAGCUAGUUGGUAAGGUAACGGCUUACCAAGGCAACGAUGCAUAGCCGACCUGAGAGGGUGAUCGGCCACACUGGAACUGAGACACGGUCCAGACUCCUACGGGAGGCAGCAGUAGGGAAUCUUCCGCAAUGGGCGAAAGCCUGACGGAGCAACGCCGCGUGAGUGAUGAAGGUCUUCGGAUCGUAAAACUCUGUUAUUAGGGAAGAACAUAUGUGUAAGUAACUGUGCACAUCUUGACGGUACCUAAUCAGAAAGCCACGGCUAACUACGUGCCAGCAGCCGCGGUAAUACGUAGGUGGCAAGCGUUAUCCGGAAUUAUUGGGCGUAAAGCGCGCGUAGGCGGUUUUUUAAGUCUGAUGUGAAAGCCCACGGCUCAACCGUGGAGGGUCAUUGGAAACUGGAAAACUUGAGUGCAGAAGAGGAAAGUGGAAUUCCAUGUGUAGCGGUGAAAUGCGCAGAGAUAUGGAGGAACACCAGUGGCGAAGGCGACUUUCUGGUCUGUAACUGACGCUGAUGUGCGAAAGCGUGGGGAUCAAACAGGAUUAGAUACCCUGGUAGUCCACGCCGUAAACGAUGAGUGCUAAGUGUUAGGGGGUUUCCGCCCCUUAGUGCUGCAGCUAACGCAUUAAGCACUCCGCCUGGGGAGUACGACCGCAAGGUUGAAACUCAAAGGAAUUGACGGGGACCCGCACAAGCGGUGGAGCAUGUGGUUUAAUUCGAAGCAACGCGAAGAACCUUACCAAAUCUUGACAUCCUUUGACAACUCUAGAGAUAGAGCUUUCCCCUUCGGGGGACAAAGUGACAGGCGGUGCAUGGUUGUCGUCAGCUCGUGUCGUGAGAUGUUGGGUUAAGUCCCGCAACGAGCGCAACCCUUAAGCUUAGUUGCCAUCAUUAAGUUGGGCACUCUAAGUUGACUGCCGGUGACAAACCGGAGGAAGGUGGGGAUGACGUCAAAUCAUCAUGCCCCUUAUGAUUUGGGCUACACACGUGCUACAAUGGACAAUAUAAAGGGCAGCGAAACCGUGAGGUCAAGCAAAUCCCAUAAAGUUGUUCUCAGUUCGGAUUGUAGUCUGCAACUCGACUACAUGAAGCUGGAAUCGCUAGUAAUCGUAGAUCAGCAUGCUACGGUGAAUACGUUCCCGGGUCU